Molecule: ribosomal RNA, 487 nt
Filed under: uncultured bacterium
Lineage: Bacteria
Description: bacterial SSU rRNA
Rfam family: Bacterial small subunit ribosomal RNA
Source: RNAcentral
GGUUGUCGUCAGCUCGUGUCGUGAGAUGUUGGGUUAAGUCCCGCAACGAGCGCAACCCUUGUUGUUAAUUGCUAACAGGUUAAGCUGAGCACUUUAGCGAGACAGCCUAGGUUAACUAGGAGGAAGGUGGGGAUGACGUCAAAUCAUCAUGCCCCUUACGUUUAGGGCUACACACGUGCUACAAUGGUGAGAACAGAGAGAAGCAAGCUAGUGAUAGUGAGCAAAACUUAUAAAACUCAUCUCAGUUCGGAUUGCAGGCUGAAACUCGCCUGUAUGAAGAUGGAGUUGCUAGUAAUCGCGAAUCAGAAUGUCGCGGUGAAUACGUUCCCGGGUCUUGUACACACCGCCCGUCACACCAUGAGAGUUGGCAACGCCCGAAACCUGUGGGCUAACCAUAUAGGAGGCAGCAGUCUAAGGUGGGGUCAGUGAUUGGGGUGAAGUCGUAACAAGGUAGCCGUAGGAGAACCUGCGGCUGGAUCACCUCCUU